This 783-nucleotide ribosomal RNA is filed under the name Typhaea sp. NLG-2012. RNAcentral's name for it is "partial 16S ribosomal RNA". Lineage: Eukaryota; Metazoa; Arthropoda; Insecta; Coleoptera; Mycetophagidae. The record is from RNAcentral.
GUCUUUAAAAUUAAAAAUUUUGGCGGUAUUUUAGUCUUUUCAGAGGAACCUGUUUUUUAAUCGAUAGUCCACGAUUAUUUAUACUUUAUUUUUAAAUUUACAUAUCGUCGUAGUUUGAAAAUUUUAUAAUUUAAUUUUUUCAGAUCAAGGUGUAGUUUAUAAUAAAGAUAAAAUGGGUUACAAUAAAAAGGUAAUUUAAAUUGGAUUUGAAAGUAAGCUCUAAAAUAUGCACAUAUUGCCCGUCGCUUUCAUUAUAUGUGAAAUAAGUCGUAACAAAGUAGUCUUAUUGGAAAAUGAGGCUAGAAUUCAAAUUAGAGCUUUAAAAGUUUUUUAUUUACAUUAAAAAGUUAAUUGUGAAAAUCAGUUUAAUUUGAAUUUAAAAUUUUAUUAAUUUUAUUAUUUUUAUUUUUUUAAAAAAAAAAUUUGUAUUUUUAUUAUUAGAUUUAAAAAAUUUAAUUAUAGUUUAAAGUAUUGUGAAAGAAUAAUUUUUAUGUUAAAAAGAAAUUUUUAUUUAGUGUACCUUGUGUCUCAGGGUUUAUUAAUUUAUUUAUCUCGAAUUUAAAAGAGCUAUUUUUAUUGUAGAAUAAAUAUUUAAAAUUUUAAGAUAGUAAUGAAACGUUAUUCGUUUUUAAAUAUAUCUAGUUUUUUAAGAAAUAAAUUUAAUUUAUCUAAUAAAUAUAAUUUUAAUAAGGGAUAAGCUUUAAAAUAAAGCUUUAAAAAUUAAUAAUUUAAAAAAAAUUAUAGGAUUAGAAUUUUUCAUUUUAAUAAUUAUGUUAUAAUAAA